UACGUAGGGUGCUAGCGUUAUCCGGAUUUACUGGGCGUAAAGGGAGCGCAGGUGGUUUCUUAAGUCUGAUGUGAAAGCCCACGGCUCAACCGUGGAGGGUCAUUGGAAACUGGGAAACUUGAGUACAGAAGAGGAAAGUGGAAUUCCAUGUGUAGCGGUGGAAUGCGUAGAUAUAUGGAGGAACACCAGUGGCGAAGGCGACUUUCUGGUCUGUUACUGACACUGAGGCUCGAAAGCGUGGGGAGCAAACAGG
RNAcentral lists this ribosomal RNA (253 nucleotides) under uncultured bacterium. Its description in RNAcentral is "partial 16S ribosomal RNA". It matches the Rfam family "Bacterial small subunit ribosomal RNA", at positions 524 to 776 of the family's 1533-position model. The record is from RNAcentral.